ACAUCCCUGCUCGAGCCUUUGAUAAUUUCCAGUUUGUGAACUUCACGGAAAUAAUGUCAAAAAAUGUGAACGAAUCCAGAAAAGAGACGGAGUUUGCUCUAGCAGCAUUGAUGGAAAUACCUGCUCAAUACAAAGCAACUAUUGAGCUUGGCAUAUUGGGUCGACGGACAGGGAAUGCUUCAGAGAGGGUUCCUCUACCCCCACCUCUUCAUGGACCAUCUUCUUUCAGCAACAGUGUAAAACCUUCCCACUCAAGCAGCUUUCAGCAACGUGCACCUUCAUAUUCUGGAUAUGAUUCAUCAAUACCUUCCUAUUCUGGAUAUGACUCACCAGUUGCUGGAUAUGAUACGCCAGCAAACACAGCUUCAUAUUCAAGUUCUACUUAUGAUAACCAGGUUUGUCCCAUUUGUCUUACUAAUAAAAAGGACAUGGCCUUCGGUUGUGGGCAUCAGACUUGUUGCGAGUGUGGAGAAGACCUACAAUCAUGCCCCAUAUGUCGAAGCCCAAUACAGACUAGAAUCAGGCUGUAUUGAUUACCUUCAAUGCACAUCUCUGAGAUUGGUCUCUGCCACCAAUGAGUUUGGUUCGGUGAAAACUGAUUCAAACGCCCAUUUUCCGAAGGCAGGGACAGGAGUGUGGCUCAUAUCUCGGUAGAUGUAUUCUUUGGCAUGAGACAAAGGGAAAAUCAAGCUGCAAGGGAAGUGCAUAACUAUUGGGGCCUGGUAAAUAUUUGCAACAAGAGUUUGAUUCUAUAAUGUCCUGCCAAAUAUGGUCAUUCUUCCUCAUCAAAGCUUCUCCUUCACUAUAUGAUUAUAGCAGAAUCUAGCUGUUGAAAGGCUCUUUAGAUUGUUGGUUGAUUUGGGUUUUAGGGCAGAUAGAUGAAUAAGGACUCGAGUCCACAUUAUUAUUUUGUUUGUUUUAAUCUCUAGUCAUUUGUGAUUUUUUUUUUUUUUUUUGAGAAACAUUUGUGAUUGAGAAAAAGAUAUCUGUAGUUUUGUCCUUCUGGUUGAGGAGAAAUGUAUAUGAAGUUUUUAUUUUGUUAAUUUUCUUGUGUGGCAGCUCUUUG
Molecule: unclassified non-coding RNA, 1066 nt
Filed under: Hevea brasiliensis (rubber tree)
Lineage: Eukaryota; Viridiplantae; Streptophyta; Magnoliopsida; Malpighiales; Euphorbiaceae
Source: RNAcentral